Long non-coding RNA from Phlebotomus papatasi, 318 nucleotides. RefSeq lists it as uncharacterized. The record is from RefSeq and is a predicted model, not a curated record. NCBI's taxonomy places the organism in Eukaryota, Metazoa, Arthropoda, Insecta, Diptera, Psychodidae. The transcript has 3 exons.
CAGGCUGUCUCAUCAAGAAAUUGGGCGCAAAAAUCUGUUCAGCCAUUUCAAGAAUAAAGCUGAUCAGGCUAAGGCCAAUUUUAUUUUAACCAAGAAGGAAAAGCAGACGGUAAUGGCUAAUUAUAAAAAAAGGCUUGGCAAAAUUAAGCGUACAUGUGAGGAAAUAAGACACAGUAGCUUGUCUUCAGAAGACCAAAUCCAGAUACUGAAUAUCUUUAGAGGGCUGGGGUUCUGAGGUGAGCGAGCAAAGUGCGGAUUAACCCUCUCACGGGUAAGACCGCCUCCAGGCGGUCUUCACAAAAACAAACGACAUGGAUU